CCUGAUCCAGCCAUGCCGCGUGAGUGAAGAAGGCCUUCGGGUUGUAAAGCUCUUUCGGCCGGGAAGAAAUCGCGCAGGCUAAUAUCCNGUGUGGAUGACGGUACCGGAAUAAGAAGCACCGGCUAACUACGUGCCAGCAGCCGCGGUAAUACGUAGGGUGCGAGCGUUAAUCGGAAUUACUGGGCGUAAAGCGUGCGCAGGCGGUUUUGUAAGACAGGCGUGAAAUCCCCGGGCUCAACCUGGGAACUGCGCUUGUGACUGCAUCACUCGAGUACGGCAGAGGGGGGUGGAAUUCCACGUGUAGCAGUGAAAUGCGUAGAGAUGUGGAGGAACACCGAUGGCGAAGGCAGCCCCCUGGGCCGAUACUGACGCUCAUGCACGAAAGCGUGGGUAGCAAACAGGAUUAGAUACCCUGGUAGUCCACGCCCUAAACGAUGUCAACUAGGUGUUGGGUGGGUAAAACCAUUUAGUACCGUAGCUAACGCGUGAAGUUGACCGCCUGGGGAGUACGGCCGCAAGGUUAAAACUCAG
Molecule: ribosomal RNA, 531 nt
Filed under: uncultured Dechloromonas sp.
Lineage: Bacteria; Pseudomonadati; Pseudomonadota; Betaproteobacteria; Rhodocyclales; Azonexaceae
Description: bacterial SSU rRNA
Rfam family: Bacterial small subunit ribosomal RNA
Source: RNAcentral